RNAcentral lists this ribosomal RNA (601 nucleotides) under Astropecten polyacanthus. RNAcentral's name for it is "partial 16S ribosomal RNA". It matches the Rfam family "Bacterial large subunit ribosomal RNA", at positions 1816 to 2611 of the family's 2925-position model. The record is from RNAcentral. Lineage: Eukaryota; Metazoa; Echinodermata; Asteroidea; Paxillosida; Astropectinidae.
CGCCCUCUGAAAAUAAAGAAACUAAUAUAUAGAGGGUCCUGCCUGCCCAGUGACGGUAGUUAAACGGCCGCGGUAUCUUGACCGUGCAAAGGUAGCAUAAUCAUUUGCCUUUUAAAUGGAGGCUGGUAUGAAUGGCAAGACGGAAAUUUAGCUGUCUCUCUUUUAGAAUCCUGAAUUUAAUAUUUUUGUGAAGAAGCGAAAAUAAACUCGUAGGACGAGAAGACCCUAUUGAGCUUAAGUUAAAAGUUAUAGGCAUAUUAACUUUAUUCUUUAGCUAAUUAAAAAUAAUAAACUUACUUGAGAAUAAAAGAAUGGAGUCUGGCUGAUACUUCGGUUGGGGCAACCGCGGAGAAAAUUAAUCCUCCGCUAAAGUUGAAGGAAAAAUUACCAUUUUGGCAAGAAGAGAAAUUUCAAGAAGUGAUCCACUUUCAGGAAGUGAUCAAAGGAAUAAGUUACCAUAGGGAUAACAGCGUAAUUUUUUUGGAGAGUUCGUAUUGAUAAAAAAGUUUGCGACCUCGAUGUUGGAUCGGGACUUCCAGGAGAUGCAGCAGUUUCCAAAGGUUGGUCUGUUCGACCAUUAAAGUCCUACGUGAUCUGAGUU